RNAcentral lists this ribosomal RNA (201 nucleotides) under uncultured bacterium. RNAcentral's name for it is "partial 16S ribosomal RNA". It matches the Rfam family "Bacterial small subunit ribosomal RNA", at positions 1300 to 1500 of the family's 1533-position model. The record is from RNAcentral.
GUAGUCUGCAACUCGACUACAUGAAGCUGGAAUCGCUAGUAAUCGCGGAUCAGAAUGCCGCGGUGAAUACGUUCCCGGGUCUUGUACACACCGCCCGUCACACCAUGGGAGCCGGAAAUGCCCGAAGUCUGUGACUCAACCGAGAGGGGAGAGCAGCCGAAGGUGGAGCUGGUAACUGGGGUGAAGUCGUAACAAGGUAUC